This 910-nucleotide unclassified non-coding RNA is filed under the name Leishmania donovani. Its description in RNAcentral is "gene:LdHU3.24.1630(CDS-product:cyclophilin_8_puta tive)". Lineage: Eukaryota; Euglenozoa; Kinetoplastea; Trypanosomatida; Trypanosomatidae. The record is from RNAcentral.
AAUCGGAAGAAAGACAACUUGUCGUUCUUCCCGAACCUCAACUCACAAUGCCUCCGAGAAAGGCAAUAACAAAGGUGAAGUUGCACAGCGCUGAGAGUGUUGAUACCGACCUCCAGAACUGUUUGUUGCGCAUCGAUAAGGGUACCGACGUGUAUGGGAUGUUGGUGAUUGAGUUGGACAGUGGCCGCUCUCCCAAGGCGUGCGAGCUCGUUGCUCAAAACAUUCCUGCGUCAAACACAACCGACAAGAGUCGCGGAAAGCAGGGUGUUUACAAGAACUGCCGUUUUACGCGCCUGACCAAAGAAGGAAUUCAGACUGGCGAAGUUGUUCCGGCUGCCAAACCUGUUCCCGCAGCCGAGCUGGAGGGCGAGAUAGGUCGCGUGCCGCACUGCUACGGCGCAGUAUCGCUGUGUCGAAGCUCGACCUCUUUCGACGGAUCACAGUUUUUCAUCUGUCUUACCAGCGAUUCUGUGGAGCUCGAUCACUUAAACAAGAAGCACGUUUGCUUUGGACGCGUUGUCGAGGGACAUGAUGUCUUGGCAGCUUUGCAGAGUGAUUUGGCCGAAUAUUCUGGCGACAUGGGCCUAGUCCGCAAGGACUGUCCGUAUGUGAUGGCGGAGCUCAGCUACGCAUCGAUGUAAACUAGUUUCACGGCUUGAACUUGCUGCAUUGAAAUGCUAUCAAGCAACGACAAAAAAAAAACAAAUGAUGCUUUUCUCUAGAGAGCGGUCUUGCUCAUUUCGUACGCCACAGUGCGUUUGGAUGGGCUUCAAAGUGCGGUUCUUUUGUGUGCGCCUUCACUUUCAAGCGAACGAUGCUAUUUGCUGCCACUUCUGUUACGGAUUACGCUCUUUUAUCUCAUUCGCCAAUGUCGGCGUCUUGUUGCCGGUUUCAUUACUACGGUCCUAAG